GGAGGCGUGGCCGAGCGGCUUAAGGCAGCAUCCUGCUAAGAUGUUGUUCGGGAAACCGGACCGAAGGUUCGAAUCCUUCCGCCUCCG
Molecule: transfer RNA, 87 nt
Filed under: bacterium
Lineage: Bacteria
Description: tRNA-Ser
Rfam family: tRNA
About the family: Transfer RNA (tRNA) molecules are approximately 80 nucleotides in length.
Source: RNAcentral